AACACACAUGCACAGCAAUCAUCCACACAACACACUCACCUCUCACCGCACCAACCUCACACGCCCAAUAACACCCCACAGGGUGGACUGGACGACCUGGUGGCCAUGGCGGGGAUAGACCCACCCGAUCCCAUCCCGAACUCGGCCGUGAAAUGCCCCAGCGCCUAUGAUACUGCGUCUCAAGACGCGGGAAAGUCGGUCGCCGCCAGGU
Molecule: ribosomal RNA, 211 nt
Filed under: Gluconacetobacter diazotrophicus
Lineage: Bacteria; Pseudomonadati; Pseudomonadota; Alphaproteobacteria; Acetobacterales; Acetobacteraceae
Source: RNAcentral